Long non-coding RNA from Homo sapiens (human), 1333 nucleotides. Ensembl annotates it as long intergenic non-protein coding RNA 299. NCBI's taxonomy places the organism in Eukaryota, Metazoa, Chordata, Mammalia, Primates, Hominidae. The record is from Ensembl.
GGAGUUCUAGAGAGUCCACCCCACGGUUCAGCCAGACCUGCCCAGACGUCUCAAUCGGGAUUGAAAGUUUUGCCUGGGCUCCCAUGGGGCCUCCUGCUUCUGGAAAUGCAUUAUGAAGCUCUUGACUGAGAACGGGGAUGGUUUCUGCAGAUAAACACCUGAAAAGGAAAGCAAGUGACAGUGACAGGGACUGGGAACCUGGGAGCUUCUCAGCAUCUCCUUUUCACACUCUGCCUCUGAGCAGCUGGGAAUCCUUACCCCUCCAAUCUCCUGACUGCUCAUCUCCCUGGAGCCAGGACCCUGAAUCAGUAUUCACGGCCUGUUAGUGGCUUGCAAGGCAGAGCAGACAGAUGGACGUGCUCGGGAAGCCUAUUGAUCAGCCCUUGGUGUGACCUGCCCAGACCUGGUUCUGUUUCAAGCACUGAUCACGUGGACAAGGAGUCCUUAAUUCCUCUCAGCACCAUUUGAGAUGAGCAACUACACAAGACAAAGACGAAAGGCUUUUUCAGCUCAAAAAUCCUGUGAUUCUUUGAUUCUAAGAAGAGAUUUUCUUACAAGGAGUUUGCCUAAGGGACUUUGAAUUUGCUGUGUCUUCUGCUGAGAACAUUCCCUCUGAAGAUUCAGAACCCUUUAUACUACUCCAACACCAAAUAUUUAAUCUGUCAAUCUAAUCUUGGAUAUUUGAAAUCUUCUCCAUACAUAUCAUGAGAUAUUCUUCACCAGAAUAAGCUUUUGUUUCACUACCAAGAGGUUUGGCCUCCUCUCCAGCCUGUGACUACUGGGAAGACAGGGCACCUGUCCUAUUCACCUUUGUAUCUCUGGUGUCUCACUCAGGAUCCGGCACAGUGCUUGCCAAGGACCUGCUAUGCGCCAGGGGCUGCUGGAGCUGGGAACCUAAUGAUCACAGUGUCAGCCUCUGCCAGCCUUUGUGUGUGUGGCAGGGGUUGUUUUGAGUCCCACCAUCUUCCAUCCCUGAUGCUUGGAGAAGCUGAGGACACACAGGGGUGUACAGGGAGCAUGGUGCCAGCAUCUGCUUCUGAUGAGGCCUCAGGAAGCUUCCAAUCAUGGCAAAACGUGAAGUGGGAGCAGACACAUCACAUGGUUGAAUGGCGUCUCACCUGCUGACUAUACGAGUCUGAUGGGAAAAGCACGCUGCUUCCUCCAUUCCCAGCGGGAUCAAAUACACUGAGCGCAUCACCCAGCCUUGUAGCCUUCCGCAUCCUGGGGAGAGGGGUCCCAGCCAGCACUCGUGGUGAGAACAGAGCUCCCUCUCGGGACCCCGUUAUGCUGACCCUGGCUUCCACUUCUAGGAGAAAUAAAGCAUAGAAAGUCC